This 849-nucleotide ribosomal RNA is filed under the name uncultured Lachnospiraceae bacterium. RNAcentral's name for it is "bacterial SSU rRNA". It matches the Rfam family "Bacterial small subunit ribosomal RNA", at positions 20 to 873 of the family's 1533-position model. Lineage: Bacteria; Bacillati; Bacillota; Clostridia; Lachnospirales; Lachnospiraceae. The record is from RNAcentral.
UGGCUCAGGAUGAACGCUGGCGGCGUGCUUAACACAUGCAAGUCGAACGGAAAUUAAAGUUGGAAGUUUUCGGAUGGAAGACUUUAAUUUUAGUGGCGGACGGGUGAGUAACGCGUGGGUAACCUGCCGUAUACAGGGGGAUAACACUUAGAAAUAGGUGCUAAUACCGCAUAAGCGCACAGCUUCGCAUGAAGCAGUGUGAAAAGCUCCGACGGUAUACGAUGGACCCGCGUCUGAUUAGCUAGUUGGUGGGGUAGAGGCCUACCAAGGCGACGAUCAGUAGCCGGCCUGAGAGGGUGACCGGCCACAUUGGGACUGAGACACGGCCCAAACUCCUACGGGAGGCAGCAGUGGGGAAUAUUGCACAAUGGGGGAAACCCUGAUGCAGCGACGCCGCGUGAGUGAAGAAGUAUUUCGGUAUGUAAAGCUCUAUCAGCAGGGAAGAAAAUGACGGUACCUGACUAAGAAGCCCCGGCUAACUACGUGCCAGCAGCCGCGGUAAUACGUAGGGGGCAAGCGUUAUCCGGAUUUACUGGGUGUAAAGGGAGCGUAGACGGUGAUGCAAGUCUGAUGUGAAAGCCCGGUGCUCAACGCCGGGACUGCAUUGGAAACUGUGUUACUAGAGUGCAGGAGAGGUAAGCGGAAUUCCUAGUGUAGCGGUGAAAUGCGUAGAUAUUAGGAGGAACACCAGUGGCGAAGGCGGCUUACUGGACUGUAACUGACGUUGAGGCUCGAAAGCGUGGGGAGCAACAGGAUUAGAUACCCUGGUAGUCCACGCCGUAAACGCGCUUAUAGGUGUUGGUUGGCAAGGCCAAUCGGUGCCGUCGCAAACGCAAUAAGUAAUCCACC